RNAcentral lists this ribosomal RNA (406 nucleotides) under uncultured bacterium. RNAcentral's name for it is "partial 16S ribosomal RNA". It matches the Rfam family "Bacterial small subunit ribosomal RNA", at positions 30 to 526 of the family's 1533-position model. The record is from RNAcentral.
AUUGAACGCUGGCGGCAGGCCUAACACAUCCAAGUCGAACGAGUGGCGGACGGGUGAGUAAUGUCUGGGAAACUUCCUGAUGGAGGGGGAUAACUACUGGAAACGGUAGCUAAUACCGCAUACUAUCAGCUUUGCCCAGAUGGGAUUAGCUUGUUGGUGGGGUAGCGGCUCACCAAGGCGACGAUCCCUAGCUGGUCUGAGAGGAUGACCAGCCACAAUGGAACGGAGACACGGUCCAGACUCCUACGGGAGGCAGCAGUGGGGAAUAUUGCACAAUGGGCGCAAGCCUGAUGCAGCCAGGCCGCGUGUAUGAAGAAGGCCUUCGGGUUGUAAAGUACUUUCAGCGGGGAGGCGUUACCCGCAGAAGAAGGACCGGCUAACUCCGUGCCAGCAGCCGCGGUAAUUC